RNAcentral lists this ribosomal RNA (448 nucleotides) under uncultured bacterium. RNAcentral's name for it is "bacterial SSU rRNA". It matches the Rfam family "Bacterial small subunit ribosomal RNA", at positions 330 to 793 of the family's 1533-position model. The record is from RNAcentral.
UCCAGACUCCUACGGGAGGCAGCAGUGGGGGAUAUUGCACAAUGGGGGAAACCCUGAUGCAGCGACGCCGCGUGGGUGAAGAAGUAUUUCGGUAUGUAAAGCCCUCUCAGCAGGGAAGAAAGAAGACGGUACCUGACUAAGAAGCCCCGGCUAACUACGUGCCAGCAGCCGCGGUAAUACGUAGGGGGCGAGCGUUAUCCGGAUUCACUGGGUGUAAAGGGAGCGUAGACGGCCGUGCAAGCCAGGAGUGAAAGCCCGGGGCCCAACCCCGGGACUGCUCUUGGAACUGUGCGGCUGGAGUGCGGGAGGGGCAGGCGGAAUUCCUGGUGUAGCGGUGAAAUGCGUAGAUAUCAGGAGGAACACCGGCGGCGAAGGCGGCCUGCUGGACCGCGACUGACGUUGAGGCUCGAAAGCGUGGGGAGCGAACAGGAUUAGAUACCCUCGUAUG